UAGCAGCUUACAUGCAGUCGAGCGGAACGAUUCUAGCUUGCUAGAAGGCGUCGAGCGGCGGACGGGUGAGUAAUGCAUGGGAAUCUGCCCGAUAGUGGGGGACAACCUGGGGAAACUCANGCUAAUACCGCAUACNUCCUACNGGAGAAAGCANGGGAUCUUCNGACCUUGCGCUAUCGGAUGAGCCCAUGUCNGAUUANCUUGUUGGUGAGGUAAC
RNAcentral lists this ribosomal RNA (217 nucleotides) under Halomonas sp. RNAcentral describes it as "partial 16S ribosomal RNA". It matches the Rfam family "Bacterial small subunit ribosomal RNA", at positions 52 to 261 of the family's 1533-position model. Lineage: Bacteria; Pseudomonadati; Pseudomonadota; Gammaproteobacteria; Oceanospirillales; Halomonadaceae. The record is from RNAcentral.